GACGAACGCUGGCGGCGUGCUUAACACAUGCAAGUCGAACGAGAUUGUUGUAGCAAUAUGACAUGAAAGUGGCGCACGGGUGCGUAACACGUAUGCAAUCUACCUUUGAUUGGGGGAUAGCUUCGAGAAAUCGGAAUUAAUACCCCAUAACAUAAUUGAAUGGCAUCAUUUGAUUAUCAGACUUCCGGGGAUCAAAGAUGAGCAUGCGCAACAUUAGCUAGUUGGUAAGGUAAUGGCUUACCAAGGCUACGAUGUUUAGGGGGUCUGAGAGGAUGAUCCCCCACACUGGUACUGAGACACGGACCAGACUCCUACGGGAGGCAGCAGUAGGGAAUAUUGGUCAAUGGAGGAAACUCUGAACCAGCCAUGCCGCGUGCAGGAUGACGGCCCUCUGGGUUGUAAACUGCUUUUAUACGGGAAGAAAAAGAGCUACGUGUAGCUUAUUGACGGUACCGUAAGAAUAAGGAUCGGCUAACUCCGUGCCAGCAGCCGCCGUAA
This 498-nucleotide ribosomal RNA is filed under the name uncultured bacterium. RNAcentral describes it as "partial 16S ribosomal RNA". It matches the Rfam family "Bacterial small subunit ribosomal RNA", at positions 28 to 523 of the family's 1533-position model. The record is from RNAcentral.